AACCGUGCCAAGUGAAACACAAAAAAAAAUCGCACCAUAUAAAAAAAACUCAAACAUUAACACAAAGAUACCAUUAGUUUUUUUUGUUGUUUUUUUCUCUCACCUGUCCCCUGCACUUCGCCAAAAUGCCCCUCCGACACCAGCCAGAAACGCUACAGAAAAACGCCAUGAAAUCAAUAGCCAUGAACUUUGACUACAUAUGCUACAGGACGGAGAGCAAGGCUGAAAUGGCUAAGAUGGUUAGCAAUGACUCUUAUCUGGAGGUUGAAGGACCUUUUAAACACUUGCCUGGAUUCGUGUGCCAGGGGAUUCUUGAUGCCAUCAAGAAAACGGCACAUGUUCGAAGAGAACAGCUGUGGCUUCUUCUUCAAGAUUCUGUGACUGAAUUUGCUAUGAGAGAUAUCGGUCCUCGCAAGAUUGCAUUUGACUUCGUCAUGAAGAAGUGCCCUCGCCUUCGCCGGCUUGACGUGGCUUACUUGAGGUCAGUGGGUCCGGCUACCAUCAUCAGACUCAUCCCCAACCUCAAACACAUCAUGGUGCUUAACCUCAGCAUGACAGAGACCGUCGACCAGGUCCUGGAACAAAUCGGGCUAAACUGCCCCGAGAUCCGCGAGCUGGACAUCUCCAACACCGCCAUUUCCGAGCGCGGUCUUCCCAAGCUCUGCUACGAUGCCGCCAACGACCGCUCUCUGUGCCAAAAGCUCGUUAAGAUCUGCAUCAUGGGCUGCAUCAUCACCCCGCGGCCCGUUAGCUUCUUGUUGCAGUAUAUUCCGACUUUGAGGGAGAUCGAUUAUGAUAAUAUAUUCCAGGUAUUCAAUGUCAUGAAGAAUGGGGUUUGACCGCAGCGAACAUCGGCACUUGCGAAAAAUUACACCUGUGGCCCCACUUCAACGAAUGAAUUUGUUGAUCCUGAAGAUGUUGACAUUGCAAUUGAGCUAUGUCCAUAUGCUACGAACUUCACCCUCAGCAACGCCUACGUCGAGAACGACCUCCUCUACAAAGUCAUGCGCAUGGAGAACCUCACCCACCUGAGAAUCACGAACUGCGAAGGCCUCACCCUCGACUUCAACGAAGGAGUGUUACCUGUGCUC
RNAcentral lists this unclassified non-coding RNA (1091 nucleotides) under Penaeus japonicus. RNAcentral describes it as "uncharacterized LOC122250626, transcript variant X7". The record is from RNAcentral. Lineage: Eukaryota; Metazoa; Arthropoda; Malacostraca; Decapoda; Penaeidae.